AGUCCUUUCCUUCGGGACAGAGGAGACAGGUGGUGCAUGGUUGUCGUCAGCUCGUGUCGUGAGAUGUUGGGUUAAGUCCCGCAACGAGCGCAACCCUUGAUUUUAGUUGCCAGCACUUUAAGGUGGGCACUCUAAAAUGACUGCCGGUGACAAACCGGAGGAAGGCGGGGAUGACGUCAAAUCAUCAUGCCCCUUAUGACCUGGGCUACACACGUACUACAAUGGCCAGUACAACGGGAAGCGAAAUCGCGAGAUGGAGCCAAUCCUAUCAAAGCUGGUCUCAGUUCGGAUUGCAGGCUGCAACUCGCCUGCAUGAAGUCGGAAUUGCUAGUAAUCGCGGAUCAGCAUGCCGCGGUGAAUACGUUCCCGGGUCUUGUACACACCGCCCGUCACACCACGAGAGUUUACAACACCCGAAGUCGGUGAGGUAACCGCAA
Molecule: ribosomal RNA, 437 nt
Filed under: Paenibacillus sp. S237
Lineage: Bacteria; Bacillati; Bacillota; Bacilli; Caryophanales; Paenibacillaceae
Description: bacterial SSU rRNA
Rfam family: Bacterial small subunit ribosomal RNA
Source: RNAcentral